AUUGUAUUCUUUGCAAUAAUGUAUAUUGGCAGAGUGUGUAAGGUGCUUAAUUCUAAGAUACGUAAAUAACUCCCUACAUGGGAGUGAGAACUCUCUGUAUAUCUGGAAACUGUUUGAGGCCAGUUGCUGUGUAUAAGUUACUAAUUGCAGAUAUCCCUCUGUGAAUCCAUGGCCCCAAUGGGAUAUCCUGGGCUAGAGAGUGUUGAGUACCGUUAUAGGUGCGAAAUAGAGAUGUUCUGGUCCCAUCAGUUUCCGAGCCCAUCUCUCCCAACUACGCAAUAGGAAUGUGGUACUACAGAGUUUAUUGAUCACAGCAGAUCUAAGGUUAGGGAAUAUACAGGCAUUCUCCAAGGAGAGCCAUAUCGGUGGUUUGGGACAGGAUAAGACCUCCACACCCUGUGCCAGCACUGACUGAGGCUUUAUAAUACGUUUUGACAUUAGAAACUCCGAGGCCACCUUUGUUCAUUGGUAGCCAUGUAAGACACCUAACUAUUUUGUGUUUUUUUUCCCAGAUAUACGCAUUAAAAAGGGACUGGAAUUUCUUUGUAAGCCUGUCUGGUAACAGUACAGGAAUAGUUCGGAACAGAUACAAUAUGUGGGGUAAAUCUUUUGACAGUAUGGAUAUGACCCAACCACAAGAUAUCCAAGCCCUGCCAUUUGUCUAGCAUUGUCUGGAGUUUGUGAGUAAGCGGUAUAUGAUUCUCUUUAGUGAGUUGUGCGUUUGUCUUUGUCAAAUUAAUGCCCAAGUAUUUCAAGGAUGUUUUCCUCCAAUCGAAGGGGUGAAGUGAUUGCAGUGUUUGAGUUGUAUUUGAAGGGAGGCAGCGCCUGUGUUUUUUUUUUUUAACUAUUGUUUUUAAUAGUAGGAUACUGUCCCAUAUUUAACUAGUAUAAUUAUUAGAGCCAGGAUCGAUGCCUCUGGUUGUGUAAGGAACAUCAGCAAAUCGUCCGCGAAUAGAGCUAUCUUGUGGGUCUGCUGGGAUGUUAAGACCUGUAAUCUGAGCAUGCUGUUUAAUGUGGCCCACUAAGGGAUCCAAGCAUAAAAUGAAAAUGAGUGGUGAAAUCAGGGAACCCUGCUGGGUGCCAGUGCUAAUAUAGAAGGUGUUGGAUUAAAAAAAAAACCUUAAACACUUUGGCCAAGGGAGCUUGGAAGAUGGCCAUCAUUCCCUUUAGGAAAGAGGCGAAUCCCAUUUUGGUCAGAGUAGCUUGCAAGUAAUCCCAGUUCAGGUGAUCAAACUCCUUUUCAGCAUUGAGCGCCAGAACUGUUCCCCCUGCCUGCUAGAUGUUGCCCAGUUUGUUAGGUUCAUGAAGUGUCUGGCCCACCUGCCUAGGGCAAGAAGAGGAUGGCUUGUCGAACCUCCUCUUCCGUAAAUGGGUCAUCUAGUGUGUCACACUGUUGCUGUGUUAUUUGUGAGAUGUCUAUAUUAUCUAGGAAGUGGCUGAUGGAGUCAUGGGUAGGUUGGGAUAUCAAGGGGUCAUCUUUUACGUUAUAAAGUUUAGUGUAGUACUCCGCUAAUUCGUUAAGGUCAGAGAGGUUAUAUAAUUUAGUGUUUUGGUAUGAAUGAAUGUAGAGCCCUACUAUAGCACCUAUCCCCCCCACUACAAUAACAAAUCUCAUCUAAUCAUUAGAUCUGACGUUACUACGGGCAAUACAUACAUUGUAAAAAGUGUGCCAAAAUAAUACUGCUGAAGCUUAGUGUAGUGGUUCUGGUGUCUAUAGCAUGUCCUGCAGCUUUAGCAUUGUAAACACUACCUUUUCAGAGAAAACACAAUGCUUUCAUUGCUGCAAAGUAACACCUCUAAUUGCAGUCACUCAGAGUGGUGGUGCAUAGUGUGCAGCAUUGGGGUUUAUAAUUUCCAGGCUCUACAUGGAGACACUUAAUGUAACCCACAGAGAUGCACUGAUUCACUGUGUGAGGAAAGCAUUUGUUUGACUUAGAACGUCAAGAUUGAUUGAUGCGCUAUGAAGGUACAGUCAGCUGCAGCAAGAUCAGCAGGGCAUGGAAGAAGAACAAAACCAUUAAAAAAAAAAAAAGUCAUUUUUUGUAGUCCAAAAAAACUUGUAUAGUCUAGUUUGGAAAUACUUUAAUUACCAAGCGAACAUAUAGCAAAUGAGGAUUAUCAUGAGGAUUAUUUUUACCUCCAAACAAAAAUAUAUGGGGGGGGAGUGGGGGGGGAAAGGGGGAGUUUGCUCUGAGCUAUGCCAAUAUGUUCAUGACUGCCUUUGGAUACACUAUUUGCCCCGAGCUUAACUAGAAGCAAUACCCAGUAAUACAUAUUUUUGUUACAUUGACAUCUUAUGUAUAUGGAAAGGAGAAGCAGAUCUUAUUUAUUUUUAAAAUUUUUAAAUAUUAACAAGUGAAGUACAUCUAUCUUUAACCAUGGGUUUUAGUGCAACCAAUAUACACUGUUUAGACUUGGACAUGUUUAUUAAUCUAUUUGCAAGUAUUCCAAAUUUACCAAUAAAGAACGGAAACAUUUUGCACAAAAAAUAAAUAAAUGCAUUUGCACUAUCACACAAAUAAGUCAUAAAAUGUAAUGACUGAAUAGCUUGCAGAUCAACUAAUCAGAACAGAUAAUACAUUUAGUUUAAAUCUAAUAGUGGAGCAGUAAUGUAAUAUAUACACAUAUACACACAACCAUAAUCUGUUAAUCCUUUAGUAGAAUGCAAUCUUUGUACAUAGAAUAUAUUUUUGAAAAAUGGCAGAUAGUAUAGAUUGUUUUAAAAUAAAUAGUUCUCCGAUAAUGCACCACUAUUUCUCACACAGUGUGUAAUAAUAGAGUCAUGUAUAUACACUCUAUAUCACUUCAACCAUUAAGCCAUAAAAUUAAAGGGUGUAUAUACUUAGAGAGAUUGCCUCUGCCUCUAUAAGAAGCCAGUGCUUCUUAGAGGCAAUCUCUCUAAGUAUAUAUACACACACACACUUCAAUUUUAUGGCUUAAUUUAUUUAUUUUUAGAUUAUCUUUAAAAUAAAUUAAUUUUUUUGUUUUGUUUUAAAUACACGUUUACAAAAAAAACCCAAAAAUAAGAAAAUACUUUAAACUGGAAGAAAAAUCCAACAAAUGUAAAAAUUAUCACCCAAUAUCUCUUAUAAAUGUAUACACCAAGCUAUUUUCUUCUAUUAUUGCACAGAGAUUGAAAGUUAUACGGAAUACUAUAGUUCACCCCGAUCGGAUAGGCUUUGUCUCUGACAGACUGGUCAGUAAUAAUUUAAGAAGACUUGUUGAUGUAAUAGAUCUUUUAUAUAAAAACAGGAAUCCCAUGCAGAUCCUGUCUAUCGAUGCCGAAAAGGCAUUUGCCAGGGUCAGAUGAGAAUUAAAGGAAAAUACUCUUCAAGCAUUUGGGCUGUCUGGCUGGAUUUUAGGCACAAUUUUAUCAUUGUAUAAAAGUACCAACGACCCCAACACAUGUGCAAAAUGGUUUAAACUAAAAGUAAUGGAACGACACAGGAUUGUCCUUUAUUUCCCCCCUUUUGUACAUAUUAACCAUGGAAGUACUAGCCACAAGACUCAGACAAAACAAUAUGGUUAGGGAACCACCUACAUAGAUAUUUAUAAGAUAUUUACCUAUUUAGGGAUUAAGAUAUGUAAGAAUUGAAACAGAUUAAUGUAUGUAAAUUUUAAUGAUCUUCUAAAAGAAAAAUCUUAAAGAAUGGCACAGACUAGAGGUUUCUAGUCUAGAGGUGCAGCAGGAUUAACAUCCUAAAGUCAAAUGUACUCCUUAAGUGGAUAUAUAUGUUUAGGAUGUUGCCACUGACCAUUCCCUCACCCUGGUUGACAAUGCUAAAAUCCACCUUUUGACACUUGGUUUGGAGAGGAAAGAUGCAAUCUGUGACAAAAUCUAGAUGCAUUAGAAAGAGCAAUAAAUAAUAUUUAUUUAAAAUCCUGAAAAUUAGACACAUACAAUCAAUUAGAGAUCUAAUUCUAAAUAAGAUGAAACCUUUCAAUAAUGUAGUGAAUGACUUUCAGUUGACAAGGAAUUAAAUUUUCUCUUAUAUUCGAGUAGAACACUUUAGAAAAAGUUCAAUUGGUAUCAAAAUGUAAUUUAUUUCAUAAAAGGAUUGUUACAGAUUAAUAGACCUAAACAAUCACAAUAGCAAUAUAAAAAAAAAAGAGCCAAGGAUCUAAGGAAAGAUAGAUAUACAUUAAAACGAUUUGUUUCUAUCUAGCUAAAAGAUCAACAAAUAUUUACAUUCUCUGUCACUGAUUGCAACGCAUUUUAAAUGUAUUAACUUAUGGUACAUGACCCCAACAAGAUUCUCCAAAAUCUCAUAUGGAGUUAAAACUGUUGGAGAUGUGUGGUAGAAAAAGGAAGUUAUAUACACAUGUGGUGGUCUUGUACAAAUGUGUCAAUUUGGUUAGGGGUUCAAAACAUUCAGUCUAUGUAAGGUCAAAUUCCCUAAAACACCAUAGGCAAUGCUAUAACAACUAAACUGGCCUAAAUUAAAAAAGUCAGAUCAAUUUUUAAUAACAGUCUGGUUGAUGGGAAAAACUGGAAGGGAGAGCAUGAUUUUUUUUUUUUUAACCUAAAUAAGUUCUCAACUAAUAUACCAGUGAAAGAUGGAAAAGAAUUAACCAAACAGCCCAUUAAAGUUUCGGGUCUAUGGGAUAGAUGGGAAAAAAAUAUAUUGGAAAAAUUACUAACGCUUACCUUGUAUGAAAAUGAAGUAAAAGAAAAAGAUUCAUAAAGGGCUCAAGUAAUGCUGGGGGCACUCCAUGACUGAUUUGGGCAUUUUCUUUUUUUUUUUUUUUAGAUUAUUUUCGUUUCUCCCCCACAAGAAAUAACUUCAUUGAUGUAAACAUGCAAGUCUGAUUGUUAAAUGCAACCCAAGAAUUCAUUAAUUUAUUGAAACCCCAUUUCCAGCCUUCCUUGGUGACAGAUACACAUUGUAUUGUAUACAAGAUGUGCUUUAUUUCCUUCAAACUGCUUUUGCACUAUAUAACCAUUUAUUUUUUAUUUCAAUAUCAAACCUGUUAUCUGACACCAAUCAGAUAAGCACUUAUUUUAUGUGCAUUAAUUCACACAAUUUAUGUUAAAAGUUAUGUGUAUCUAAGCAAAAUGCUGCUCUCUUUACCAAAGUUGCAUUAUUCUUUUUUUGCCCCAACUCAAAGAAAUUUCAGCUACUUGAACCCAUUAGCGAUCGUGUCUUCUAGAGUCUCAUUCCUGUAAUAUUUGUUGGUUUCCCUCAGCUCAAAUUAUAAACAUUACUAUAUAAACUAUGUCAGAAAUAUAAUUUAUUAAUAUUCUCUUGUUAAAGUGAAUCCUUCAAUAUACACCUCUAUAACUAAACUUAUGUCUAUAGUUCUACUCACACACAAUCAUCUGUAUACUGAAUUUCUGACCAAUAUACAAUUUAAAUUAAGCCAGUCCACUUUAUUUCCUGGAUUUAUUUUUCAAAUCUGGUCAAUACAUAUAUGUAUAUUUAUAUACAUGGUAUUCACUGCUAAUACCUAUAACAUUAAACUUUAUACAUUCACAAACAGUUUACAUUAACCAAGCACUAACCACAUGUAUUAGAGGUGUAUAGAAUAUAAGUUAUCAAGUUACUAAUUUAUAGGAAGUUUCUGAUUUUUAGACUGCAUAGUAUACACGUUACCAUGGCAACCAGUCUAUUUGAUUCAUAUUCCAAGAUGUACCUUAAAGGACCACUAUAGUGCCAGGCACCCUCAGGGUCCCCCUCCUGCCAGGCUCUAGGGUGAGGAAGGGGUUAAACGUACCUCUUUCUCCAGUGCAGGGCAGGGAGCUCUCCUCCUCGGCUGAAUGUGCAUGCGCAGCAAGAGCCGCACACGCAUUCAGCCAGUCUCAUAUGAAAGCAUUCACAAUGCUUUCCUAUGGACGCUGGCGUCUUCUCACUGAAAAAAAAAAUCAGUGAGAAGCACGCAAGGGCCUCUAGCGGCUGUCGAUGAGACAGCCACUAGAGGCUGGAUGAACCCUAUUUUUUUCUCUGAAACUGUUAUGUUUAUAGAAAAAAGCGUUAACCCUAGCUGGACCUGGCACCCAGACCACUUCAUUAAGCUGAAGUGGUCUGGGUGCCUAUAGUGGUCCUUUAAUGCAUUUGCAAACAGUUGCUAUUAACACAGCACUACACAUACGUAUCAGUUACUCAUAUAAACUAGUAAUUCACAACUUCUACACCAAGUUAUUGCAAUAUUACUUUAUUGUGCAGAAAAGCUUACCGUUACCAUGGUAACAGAUAUAGUUUUAUUCAUAUCAUGCAUAAGUACAUGUUAAAAAAAAUAAAUCUACAUUAACUUUUUGCUUUCCCCUUAUAACAAAAAGCAUGCUUCUUACUCUGGUUGCCAUAGAAAUCUUUUUAAAUGUAAAAUAUAGAAACUUUAUUUCGGUUUUAAUUCUGCGAUGUAAUAUAAGCACUACUUACUUAAUUUUGAUAAAAUAUACAUUCAGUUUGCCAUAUUUAUAGAAAAAAAGAACGGAGAUCGAGACUGCCAAUUUUUGCAAGUGAAAUGUCUUGUAACAGAUCACACUUGUGAUCUUUCCUGACGCUGUGAUUAGUAUAUCGUGUGGUGGUGAUGAUAAUACCAUCAUAAGUACACACCAUGGUCAAACUAUAUUACAAGUGUCAAAAGUUACGGUAUAACACUAGUUACAUAUCGACUGAUAGGAGUCUACGUGUGGUCGCAGGAGAAAGAGGGUGAGGGAAUACACUUGUGUAAAAAAUGGGGCUUGUAGCUCAAAACUUUCUUACGGUAUUUGACUUUGCUUUAGCGGAUUUCGGAAGGGUUAUCAGUUUUUGCCGCUUAUCAUUUGUGUGUAUAGCGCUGUAUUAUAAAUUAUUUUUAUAUCCCAUACAUCAUUUGCAGACUGUCAUUUUGGAACAUGUGAUCUAAAUGAUCAGACCAUCACAAAAAACGCCCACCUAAACCAUUUUCAUAAAGGCGUUAAUCACAUACCAUUUGAAAGGCUACAGGAAUAGGAAGCUAUGCACAAUGAUUUUUAGAUAAGGUCAUUCGAUUUCUUUGGGUUGGGAUACAAGUUAACUUCAUACAUUGAUCACUUGAGGAAAAAAGAAAAAAAAAUAUCACGGGUACAAGCCUGUUUCACAACUAAAUUGAAGACCGCUCUAAAAAUGUUUUAAAUGUAAUACAUUGUUAUUAACAUUUUUAAAUAUUACAGGUUUUUCAAAGGAAAAGUUGUAUUUCUUAAAGUGUACUUUUUCUUUAAGAUAUUUUGCAAACUAGGAAGUUAUUCUUAAUGGAAAAUUUAACUUCUAAUACAAUGUUUCUUUACUUAUCAAAUGGACCAAUUGACCAGAUACGUUAAGAAGAUGCUUAGACUAAGUCGCCAUUUUGUCAUAGGUUAAUGUGAUAGCAAGUCAGGGUCUUGUAUACAUCAUAUCCAACUUUAAGAUUUAGUACAAACAGAUUAAGAGGUCUAGCUCAUGACAAAAGACCAGUUAAGGUGUUCCUAUGUAAAACUAAAACAAGUUGGCCAUGUCAUUUAAUGGUCAUGGCCUCGUAACUUUGCUAGGUUAAAGAUAGAUCAAGUUUAUUUUUCGAUUUUCCAAACAUGAAUUGAAAAACUAUGGUAUAAAUAAGUGUACUCAACAAUAGAGACAGAGGGGAAAAUUUGGAUGCAGAGACUGAGGUUGACUUGUUCAAGAGGGUAUGUUAUUCUAUUGUACAGAUUCAAGCAUGUACCUUAAAUAUAGACAUAAUUUAAUUAUCCAUUAU
Pelobates cultripes (western spadefoot toad) is the source of this 7689-nucleotide non-coding RNA. The record is from the annotation of a GenBank genome assembly. NCBI's taxonomy places the organism in Eukaryota, Metazoa, Chordata, Amphibia, Anura, Pelobatidae.